RNAcentral lists this ribosomal RNA (450 nucleotides) under uncultured bacterium. RNAcentral's name for it is "partial 16S ribosomal RNA". It matches the Rfam family "Bacterial small subunit ribosomal RNA", at positions 354 to 796 of the family's 1533-position model. The record is from RNAcentral.
GUGGGGAAUAUUGGACAAUGGGCGAAAGCCUGAUCCAGCCAUGCCGCGUGUGUGAAGAAGGUCUUCGGAUUGUAAAGCACUUUAAGUUGGGAGGAAGGGCAGUAAGUUAAUACCUUGCUGUUUUGACGUUACCAACAGAAUAAGCACCGGCUAACUUCGUGCCAGCAGCCGCGGUAAUACGAAGGGUGCAAGCGUUAAUCGGAAUUACUGGGCGUAAAGCGCGCGUAGGUGGUUCAGCAAGUUGAAGGUGAAAUCCCCGGGCUCAACCUGGGAACUGCCGCCAAAACUACUGAGCUAGAGUACGGUAGAGGGUAGUGGAAUUUCCUGUGUAGCGGUGAAAUGCGUAGAUAUAGGAAGGAACACCAGUGGCGAAGGCGACUACCUGGACUGAUACUGACACUGAGGUGCGAAAGCGUGGGGAGCAAACAGGAUUAGAUACCCUAGUAGUCC